AUGUGCUUAUGUCAUUGUGUUUGUUGAACUGUACAGCAUAACAACAGUGGAGUGACUUGCAGGUGCCUCAUGUGGAUUUUAUGGCUUAAGCCAAGAGGAGAAAGAAAGGGCUCUGCAUAUGAAAAGAUACCAACAUUAUUGUUUCCAUGAAAUUGGUUGGAAGAAAAGAAGAAGAUCCAGAGAAGAUCUUAGUAAUAAGAUAGUUUUUAGGAAAAUAGAUAUUUAGUUUUAGGUCAUUUCUUCUAAUUUCAGAUAUGGAGGGCUUGUCUUUAGUUUUUGUUUUGACUUUGUGAAACUUGCUAACUAUGGAUGAAACUGUGUAAUAUUGAUGAAACUAUGUAUAUGUAUGGAUGAAACUUGCUACUA
Triticum aestivum (bread wheat) is the source of this 366-nucleotide long non-coding RNA. RefSeq lists it as uncharacterized. The transcript has 2 exons. The record is from RefSeq and is a predicted model, not a curated record. Lineage: Eukaryota; Viridiplantae; Streptophyta; Magnoliopsida; Poales; Poaceae.